RNAcentral lists this ribosomal RNA (253 nucleotides) under uncultured bacterium. Its description in RNAcentral is "partial 16S ribosomal RNA". It matches the Rfam family "Bacterial small subunit ribosomal RNA", at positions 524 to 776 of the family's 1533-position model. The record is from RNAcentral.
UACGUGGGGGGCAAGCGUUGUUCGGAAUUACUGGGCGUAAAGCGUGCGUAGACGGUUAUUUAAGUCGGAUGUGAAAGCCCCGGGCUCAACCUGGGAAUUGCAUUCGAGACUGAAUAGCUAGGGUACGGUAGAGGGAAGCGGAAUUUCCGGUGUAGCGGUGAAAUGCGUAGAUAUCGGAAGGAACAUCAGUGGCGAAAGCGGCUUCCUGGACCAGUACCGACGUUCAGGCACGAAAGCGUGGGGAGCAAACAGG